This 422-nucleotide ribosomal RNA is filed under the name uncultured beta proteobacterium. RNAcentral describes it as "bacterial SSU rRNA". It matches the Rfam family "Bacterial small subunit ribosomal RNA", at positions 9 to 428 of the family's 1533-position model. Lineage: Bacteria; Pseudomonadati; Pseudomonadota; Betaproteobacteria. The record is from RNAcentral.
GAGUUUGAUCAUGGCUCAGAUUGAACGCUGGCGGCAUGCCUUACACAUGCAAGUCGAACGGCAGCGGGGGAAAGCUUGCUUUCCUGCCGGCGAGUGGCGAACGGGUGAGUAAUACAUCGGAACGUGCCCUGUAGUGGGGGAUAACUAGUCGAAAGAUUAGCUAAUACCGCAUACGACCUGAGGGUGAAAGUGGGGGACCGCAAGGCCUCAUGCUAUAGGAGCGGCCGAUGUCUGAUUAGCUAGUUGGUGGGGUAAAGGCCUACCAAGGCGACGAUCAGUAGCUGGUCUGAGAGGACGAUCAGCCACACUGGGACUGAGACACGGCCCAGACUCCUACGGGAGGCAGCAGUGGGGAAUUUUGGACAAUGGGCGAAAGCCUGAUCCAGCAAUGCCGCGUGUGUGAAGAAGGCCUUCGGUUGUAA